CUUUGGUGUCACGUCGGUCGGUGUUGCACCAGCCUCUCGAACUGGGGGGCCUGGGGCCGUGGCAGUGCCUCCAGCGGGGAGUUGUGGCCGCGGGAAGGCUCAGUCCCCCCUAGCUCUCGGAGCCCCGGCUGCCCUCUCCCAGCCCCCGGGAACACCGAGCUCCGAGUCCCUGCUCCUGUGCUGAGCGCGGGGCCUCGGCCGGCGGCGGCUCUGCACGUGCCCGCCAGGCUGGAGAGGAUGCAGCGAGCCCGCCUGCGUCGGCUCGGAGGGGCCACAGAAGACGCGGGAGGCAGGAUCGUGGCCCCAGGAGAUGUCCCCAUGCUGAUCCCCGGAGCCUGACGUGGCCACAGGCUCCUGAGGCGGGGCGUCGUCCUGGGUGGCCAGGGCCAGGCCUACACGUGGCUGCAAGUGUCCUGGCGAGAGGGGGUGGAGAGAGCUGACUGUGGGAGAGGAAGGAGCGGCUGAGAUGAUGGGAGCAGGACGCUGGAGGGACACGCGGAGGGUCACUCGACACGGGACGCAGGUGGCCUCCCGGCGGGAAAGGCCGAGCCGGUCCCCUCCAGGGCCUCAGAGGGCACAGCCCUGCCGGGGCCUCCUCCAAUGUGGAAGCCGGUUUAGGACUGCCGACCUCCAGCCUGGAGGAGAAUAAAUCCGUGUUGUUGAAGCCGCUAAAUUUAUGGCAAUCUGUGACAGCAGCGACGGGAAGCUCACGCUUUUUAUUUUCUACGGAGGUUCAAAAUUUAUUUAAAAAGUUGUUUAAAAGAGUAUAAAAGGUAACUUUUUCCUCUUGCUCGUGUUCAUACGCGGGGUUAACAAAAUAGGGAUUACGACGUAAGCAGAUUCCAGAGCUCGCCCUCCCCGUCCCCACUCUAAGAGUCAGAGACACGAGGAGGAGUCGCGAGUCGCCCACCUCAGGACUCUGACCAGCCCGGCGCGGUGACGGCCGGGAGGAGAUGUUCCGUGAGUAUCAGGGAGGGGCUGUGGGUCUGGUAAUCGUGUUUCUCUGAUGACUGGCGUGCUGCUGUCUCCCUCGCUAGACCAGAAGCUUCCUGAAGGCAAGUUGGGGUCAAAUUUUCUCACUCUGUCUCCGUCUAUCCAGGGUCUACUCGGUGCUCAAUAAAUGUUUGUUAAACGAAUAAUUGAUCACAUAUUCUUUGUCAGCAGCUGGGCUAGUGAAAAUGAGACAAAAAUAGGUAGUUCCCACAGUCGUGGGGUUCUGGAUCUAGUAAGGGAAAUAAAAAAGGAUGAUGAUAAAGCAUGCUGAGCACUUGCCACGAGCUGGGUGUUACAGGCACGUGGGACAUCUCAUUUAUUCCGCAGACAGUUCUAAGAGGCGCUCGUCAGGUCCCUGCCAGGGAAGCUCCAGCGGGGGUCCUGGGGAGAGGAAGAGCAGGGAUGAUGUCCAGACGGGUGGACGGGGCUGAGGGAGCUGCAGGAGGUGAGGCCAGCAUCACAGGGUUCCCCUCCUGCCCCUAGGCCUGAGCGGAGGGACGGGCAGCGCGCCAGUCAGACAGCAGGCAGGCAGAACUGCAGAGAUGGCCACACCCUAGUUCCUGGCGCCUGACCCUGUGGGGCCACAUGGCCGAGGGGAGCACAGGCCGGGGGUGGAAUCGAGGCUGCCGGUCGGCCGCCCCGGAACUGGCAAGGUUGUCUUGGCUCAUCGGCUGGGCUCGAGGAGGGGAAGAGGGAGGCGGGAGCUGAGGGUCAGAGAGCUCUGAAGACGGAGGCAGGGCCCCGAGCCGAGGCUCUGGGCGGCGUUUAGGAAAAGGUGAGCGAAGGCGUCUCCCCUGGAGCCUCCAGGAGGAUCAGAGCUCAGCCGACAGCUCGGCUCCAGCCCAGUGGGACCCACUGCAGACGCCUGACGUCCGGAGCCGUAGGAUCGCAGACGGGAGCUGCUGUCAGCCGCCCAGCCUGCGGUCGCCGUCUCUGCGGCGACGGGAGACUGCGAUGUCGGAAGGCUUAAGAAAGGGCUGCGCGGGGGGAUGUGGGGCCUUCAGGAGAGGGACACGGCCACCACCAGACCUCACCCUGCAGGCUGGGAGCCGGGGGCAUAAGUACCCCCACUCUCCUCCACGCUCCCUUCUGUUCUGGUGCUGCCCACUGGUCAGCCCCAACCGGGGGCCCGAGGGUCGGGGUCUGCUCAUGGUGCUGGCGCGGGCCAGCCCAGCAGACACGGAGCGACGAGGAACAGCGUGACGUCAUUGCAAGUAACCACCUACAUUUAUGACUGGGGCCUAGGGGGCUCAGAGAGGGCGAGUUCCUUGCUUGAGGACACUCAGCUAACAAGUGGCAGAGCCAGGAUUUGAACCCGGGACCGCCCGGCUCCCGAGUCCCAGCUCUCCGCCACGACACUGGGGAGGAGAGCGUGUUGGCACCGCGAGCCAGUCACAUGAGAAUGCGACGUGUAUGCGCGUGAGUGUGUGUGUGUGGGCGUGUGCUUGCCGCUCACACGCCCACCCAGCGCGCCCCAUCCCUGGGGCGUGUGUUUCUGGGGGCGUCCUCUUUUCUCCCGUCUCUGUUCCCCCAGCAGGUUUCAAAGGCAGCGAGUGAUGAAAUGACACUUUCGCUAAACAGCACCGUCUCCACCGCCUCGCUCGCUCGCAGCCGCUGUGUCUCCUGGGCGCGUGCAGCUCGGGUGGGGGCGUGGGAUGGCUGCUCCCUGCCGGCGCAGCCGGGGUGGGCGAGGCAGACGCCGCUUCUGGGAGGCCGGGUGCCCUCCGUGGGCCCUGGGGAGGGGGCGGAGGCCCUGGGGGCCGUGGAAGCGCCCAGCACACGCCGCAGCAGGCCGGGACACAACAAGGGGUCUGCAUGGAACGGGCAAGCGCGACUGCUUGUGUCGGUGUCGUAGCGGCCCCGUUCUCGGGCUCUGUGGUUUGGAGACUCUCCUUGAACUUGGAUGAAGGAGAAAGGAUUCAGUGCAGAAAGACUGACCGCUCGUAAUUCCAGUCCAUCCCCUCGCAACCGCAGAGCUCUCGCCACACGCAGCAGAGAGCAAUAGAAUUGCUUGUGAUGAAGCUGAGGUCGAGGGCAGGUCCGAAGCCCGCACCUGGCCCCUGGGGCUCAGCGGGUACCCCUCUGUGCCACUCUGGCCCCCCUCACUGUGCCCCAGCCUUCAGCCCCUCCCACACCCCAGCUGCUUUCCAGCUGGAACGUUAGCACACGCUGGUCCCUCUGGUGAAAAUGCUGUUCCCUGCUCUCCUGGGGAAAGCCAUGAUUAACCCUGCUCAUCUUUCAGGACUCAUCUUGAAAACCAGUCCCUCUGGGUGCAGACCGGAGUCAGGCUUAGGGGCUUGUGGAGUCAGACCACCUGGGUUCGAAUCCCAGCUCUGCCGCUGGAACUGUAACCUUGGGCGAGUUCCUGAAGCUUGUGCCUCAGUUUCACCAUCUGUGAAAUGGGGACAGAAACAGCACCGACCUCCUGGCAUUGCUCAGACGACGGAGUGAGGGAGUUAAAGCGCGGAGAGCGCGGCCUCGGGUGUGUAGGAGAGAGGAGUGCAGACGGCGGUCACUCCCCAAUCCCUUCGUGUGGGUCUCCCUGUUCCGGCGCCUUCCUGGAACCAGGUGCUGCCCCGUGUGGCAACCGCCCGUUUCAUCUCCACCUUUCCCGCUUGUCCGCGAGCCCCUGGGGACAGAGGUCACGUGUCUUGCUCUCCGUGGCCCUGACAGUGUAGCCUCAGGUCCGGCACAUAGUAGGUGCUCCAUAAAUAGAUGCUCCAAGCAUGCUGGGCCCCCUCCCCUCCUGGAACGGAGCACACAGUUCCGCCCAGCACCCGGGCAGGAGGUGGCCCUCGGCAGCGCCUGCACCCACGGCUUGCAUGAGGACCUCGCGGCUCCCAUCGUCGUCAGCACCCGCUGUGGCUCUGUAACUGUUGCCGAUCUGCUGGCGUGAGCCGUGGUCGUGGCUUCCCCGCUCACUGAGAGCCCCCGUCGCAGCCUCAGCCUGUGGGGAUCUUGGGAUCGGGAGCUGCGCACCUGGCCUGGAGACCCGACUCUUUGCGACAGGACCUGAAGCGGGGGACUCAUCCUCUGUGCCUCAGUUUCCUCGUCUGUGAAGUGGGAGUGACAACAGCACCUCCCCAGGGUUCAGUGAGUUCGUCUGUGUGAAGAGCCUGGCACGGAGCCUGGUGCACAGCGGGUGCUCCGGGAGAAGCGACUGUGUUUUUAAAUAUCGUUGCUCCACCCGGGGCUGGGACACUUGCUUUUCUGUCCCACCUGAAGAACCGUGAGCUCCUCAAAGGCUGUGACUCCCCGGUUUUUGCCUUGGCCUCCCCAGCUCUUGGGCACUCAGGAGUGCGAAUGUUUGUUGAUUGAAUUACUGACUGACUCGGGCUGCACCCUGUGUGAAAAGCAUUCAGAUCUAAAGGUUGGUGAGAUGAGGUUUGACCCCUUUGGGGCUGCAGCUUCCCCGGGGGAGCGGGCAGUGCUGGGGCCACUCCCUGCAGAGCUGGGAGCAGCGAUCUGGGCUGCCCACCAACAGCCCGUGAGGAUCUGAGGUUGCUGUUGUGGGGAGACUUGGGUCGCCUCAAAUUCCUGCGUUGGAGCCCUGACCCCAGUUCCUGGGAAUGUGGCUGCUUUGGAGACAGGGCCUCUAAAGAGGCAAGAGUUAAAAUGGGGCUGUUAGGGUGGGCCCUGAUCCAGUAGGACCGGUGUCCUCAGAAGAUAAGGAAGAGAGAGCAGGGAUGCGCGCAGAGGGAAGACCGCGGAGGACACGGGGAGGGUGCGGCUGUCUGCAGGUCAACGAGAGAGGACUCAGGAGAAAGCAGCCUGCUGCCCCCGACCUCCGACUUCCAGCCUCUGGAACCGUGAAACAACACAUUUCUGCUAAGCCACCUGGUCUGGGGUCUGUUGCUGUUGCGGCCUGGCUGACAUCCUCGCGAGACCCAAAAGCAGAGCCCCGGGUGCAGCCGCUCUGGAUCCCUGACCCGCAGAAGCCGCGUGAGAUCGUCACUGCUUAUUUAUUGCUGGCUUCAGCCGUCAGGUUUCAGCUCUUUGGUUUCUCUACGUGGGAAACGAAUCCACCGGCUGUGACGGAGCCGCGUCCAGCCCGCAGGCUGGGCCUCCCCGCGGCACACGGGCACGGAGCUUGGACGGAGACGGAGGCGCGGGUUCUGGCCGCCAUGUUUGCUGCUUAAUCAACGGCCAGUGUCUGCCUGGCCCGUAGCUGAUGCUCAGCAAACUCUUGAUACCGACGAAUGACGAACCCGGAGCCCUGUGGGCGCCUCCUGGGCACAUGGCGCUUAAUCGGGACGAUUUUCUUUUUGGGACUAUUUUUAAAGUCCUGCAAGGAAAGACACUGGAAACUCCCUGAGCGACUUUUCUAAACGUCUAGCCGCCCUUGGAGUGGUGAGUUUUUCCCUCACGCCCAACCCAGCUUUCACCAGUGCAGCUAAAACGCCCUUGCUUCUCUCUUCGGUUUUGUUUGUUUAAUUCCUGUGACCAGACACCUGUUGGGUCCUCCCCCGUCGCCAUGCCUUUGAGGCGAGACUGUGGGCUGGGAGCCGGGCCUGAGUUCCGGUUCCUUCCCAUCACUGGGCUUCCGUUUUCCCGGCACGCAGUGAGGGCCAGGGGCUGGACUGGGCACCGCCAGGAGCUUUUAUCCUGUGCCCGGUCCCAGCCACCGGGCGAGGCCGCCUGGAGGUCCAGGCUGAGCGUCCUGAGGUCGUGUGCAAGCUCGGCGGAGAGAGAGCUGGGAUCCAUCAGUGACGUCUGCCCGGGACACUGUGUGGCCAUCAGCUCCGGCCCUUCAUCACAGCAGAGGGAACGGGGAUGUCUCCAUGGGGCGGUGCCCCCGGCUACCUGGGGGCGGAGGAAAAAUGGCCGUGAGCCCAGCCUGUGGAGAGGCCUCUGGGAAGAUGUCUCCCCGUGAAGGUCAGGACAGGGCCACCAGAGGUGAGCCCCUCAGGGAGAGAGCACAGUUUCUCACCCAUUGCCACAAAAUAGGAGAAAGUCGAGGAGGACGUGCUCGUGACAGCACAGCAGUGUGGAGUCCGGCCAUGAGUGCCUUCCGUCUCAACCCCUCUGCUCCACAGCCUGCGGGGCUGGGGUGGCACGAGCUCGCCAGCUCUCGGGGCCCCUCUCCCCGUCGCUGAGACCGGACAUUUCUGACGACUGGGGGCUGGCGGAGCGUAAGUGGCAGAGCGUUUUCUCGGUGGCGCGUGACAUCGCGGAGCAGCCCGCCUGGAUGGAGCUUGUGCUGAUGAAACACGUCUCGUGACACCCACUUUCCAGACGAGGAACCCAGGGCCCCGGAGGCUGGCCCGGCCCGAGGCUGUGGCCUGGGGAGUGGGCAGUGUGGGCAGCUCCCGACCCUGGCCUUGGAGAGGCUGGCGCUCGCUGCGUGUGCACGAGCCAGAACUGCCAGGCGCCAGCACCCCCUGGGGCGCCCGAGAUGCGCCAGGAAUGCGUCCGUGACCCAGCAUGCACGGAAGGGGAGGGGACAUGACACGGCCCCGGGCAGCAUGACUGGCUGUCUAUUCAUCGCCCGGGUGAGUAAUGGCCUGGCGGGUCCCAGCAGUCCCCUUGGCAGCCAACAGAUCUUUAUCUUCGGAGGCAGAGAGGCGCCUGGCCGUGGACAGGUGAGCAUCCACGUCUGCUUCUGCGGGGGCCCUGUGGCCGGGAAGCAAGGGGGCUGGGCCGGCUCUCUGUGACCACCGUCCUGAGGCUGGAGCCCCUGAGUUAGGCACGUGACCAGCGACCAGGAGGUGCCAUUUGUGGCCUGACCCCAGGAGACCAGGAGGAGGGGGCUGCAGAGCCCUGAAGUCAGGACCGCUAAUCCACCAUCUGUCCCCUCUCACCCCUGACUCCAGCGAGGAAGAACAAGGCCGAGAGAAGCACGCUGAGUAGCUAAAAGCAAAAUUGGGCCGAGAGAGCUGAGUGUUGGAGAUCCUUUAUUGAUGUGUCAUUUGCACCCCUGUGGUCCCCGGAGGUGACAAGGUCUUGUGUGUACAGCCCGCCUGGGAGCUGAUGGUUCUGGACCCCGGAAGGCAGGAACGAAGAGGGGUGCUGAGGGCUGGACGACACCGGAGCCUGGACGCGGCUGGGCUGGGGCUCCUGGACCUGGGGCCAGGGACGUUGUCGGCCACUUUGGAGACGGUUUGGAGGGUUCUACUAAGGCUGAGCUUUGCCUGCCCUCCAGCCCAGCAAUUCUGCUCCUCGCUUUGCACCCAGCACCCAUAUUUCCUGAGGGAGCAUCCACUCGUGCGCUGACCAAGGCUCUCUCCACAGUCGCCCAGGCAGCCUGGAUGUCUCUCAGCGGGAAGACAGUGAGUAAACCGUGCGGUUCAAGAUGCAAUACGAUGGCGAUGAACGAGCCGCCUGCACCUGCAUCACCGGUGUAGAGGGAGCCCGUGAGUACCAUGUCAGCCACGAAAGCCAGACACACGAGCGACUGCUCUAUGAUUCCACUCAUAGAAAAUGCAAAAACAGCCAAGAUUCGGCUGCGGGGAUGGAGCUCAGGAUAGUGGCAACCUUUGAGGAGAGUGGUGGGGUCGUGGCUGGGGAGGGGUGAGAGGGCUUCAGGAUGCUUCAGAUCAUGUUGUCUGGGUGUUGACCACAAGGAUGUGCUCACUUUUGGAAGUAUAGUGCUCUGUGUACUUCUGAUUCACGCACUCUUUGUAUGUAUCUUAUAUUUCAACAAAAAUGUUGGGGACAAAAGAGAGACACAAGGUCAAGAGAGGUUCCUUUUCUUCUGUUAGACAUUGCUGUGUUUGCCUAACAUGCCGGAUCUGCAGCAGCCAUUUUGUGACCAUGGGACAAUUAACCGAGCACAGAGCAAGGGCAGCACAGUAGAAAGAUGGAAGUUCCUGGGUUCUUUGUGACUGUGCUGAGGCCCUGGGGAGGGGGGUUCUCGGCACCCUCCUUGAACCCGGGUGGGCCUUUGUGACUGCUUCGACCAGGGGGUGCAGAGGAGGUGAAGCUGUAUGACUUUGCAGCUUGGUCAUAAAAGGUGGUCUCACCUCCACCUGCUCUCUCCCGGGACACACUCGGGACACCCGGCUGUGAACCACAGAGUGAGAAGGCUGGCUUUCCUGAGGCCGCCAUGCUGGAAGGAAAACCUCCAGAUGGGGGGAGACACGAGGUGCGCCAGCUGUUUGUCUCCCCAGCCCAGGUGCCAGGCACGUGAAUGAGGAUGGCCUUCAGAUGAUCCAGCGUGACCACCAGGACCUCCAGCCGCAGCCGCCCAGACCCCUUGAGCUCGAGAUGCCCGCAGAGCCACUCUCGAAUUCACAGCUCACAGGAACUUGAGGCCAUCAAUGAUGCCUGUGUGUCAAGGCCCUAAACUAGGGAUGGCUGCACGGUCACAGAUGACGGUGCACCACCUCCAUUCUGAGCCCUCGCCAGACGAUGGCACACGUCUCCUUCAUCCCUGAAGCCAGGGCUCGGUCAGCAAACUUUUCCCAUAAAGGACCAGAUAGUGAAUAUUUCAGGCUUUACAGACCAGACGAUCGCCUGCCAGACAGCACACAAACGGAUGGGCAUGACUGUUCCAAUAAAACUUUAUUAACAAAAACAGAGAGCCGGGCCCUGAGCAGCAGCUUGCUGACUCCUGGUUGGAGGCAUUUUUGAGUUAGAUUUUCUGUUCCUUGCAGCCAAAAGCAUCCCGUUGGUGACCACAACUGUCCAGAGAACUCAGGGCUGAGGGCAGCCGUGAGGUGGCCUGGGUGUGUGUGCAUGGACUGUGGGUGUGUGUAUGUGGGCUGUGUGGGUGUGUGUGCAUGGACUGUGGGUGUGCAUGCACGGGCUGUGGACGUGCACGCAUGAGCCCUGGGUGGGCCCACCCUUCCCACACCUUAUCAGCAUCUUAUCAGCUCGGCCAGGAGGGCUGACACCCCUGGCUGAGGGCUCUGGCAGCCCCCUCACCCCAGCCCCCCUUUGCUCCCGGCUGGCUCUGGAAUCUCCGACUGCUCCUCGAUGGACGCUCGGUCAGGCAGGCAGGAAUGUGAGCGCGUCCCGCAGCCAGGGAACCUACAGCUACAGUCCGGCGGGACCGCGUGGAAGAGAAGCGAUGAAUGACGGACAGAUGCGCCCCCCCACCCUCCGCCGCCUCCGCUGGGCCUGUGGGACCUGCUUCCCCACCAGCAGUGAUGACGCAGGACCGAGGCCUGCUCAGCGUUUACACACCUGGGACGUCGUGAAGAACUCUCAGAGGUGCACGUUCUAUUAGCCCAUUUCACGGAUGGGGACAGGGCAGCCAGAGAGGGGGAGUCACUGACCCCAGGACACACAGCAGGAGCAGGAUUCCCGUCCUGCCUGGCUACUCCGCGCCAUGCCGUGAACACUGGUCUGGGCCCAGAGUAGGACCCACCACAGAAAGACAUGCUCAGCUGCGUCCCCAGCCCAGGGGUGCUCAGACCGCCAGUCUCUGCCCUCCGGUCCCGCCUCCGCCCUCCCUCCUGGCCAACCCUGCCCGGCCCCUCCUGCAGGGCCCUGUCUGCCCGGGCGGCAGGGGCUCAGGUGGGCGACAGGGCUGCCUCUUUGCUCGUUUGUCGCGAUGGCGCAGGUGAGCUGCUGUGAUUUCGUCGUUUAGAUUAACGGUUUCGCUCCCGGGCACAGUCAUUAGUGAGCAGUUGGGCAUUUAAUGAUUCCGCAGGCAACGUCAAGGGAAAUAUCCCCCCGGUAAAUCCUUACAAAGGCCUGGAGGCUAGGGGGCUGCCUGAGAGGGAGGUGCUGCUGUCUCUGCACACAGACUGGGUGAGGACGGGGGAAACCCUGGCCUGUUCAUCAGCCCAGGGCCAGCCGCCAUGCUGGGUGACGUGGGGGCGCAGCAAGGGGGCUUCUGACAGCCUGGACCUCCCAUCCCAUCCUGUUUCUCUGGGUCCCUGCUGGGGACUUACUCUCCCCUCCCCCCUUUCUCUAGGCUGUGCCUCGUCUGUGCCUGGCACACAGUAGGCGCUCAAUAAAUGCUCGUUAAUUGAACAAAUGGACAGAGAUUGCAAACUUGUGGCCCCUAGGUCAAGUCCAAUGACAGGUGUAUGGAAUUGAGCAGCAUGAAUGAGUUGCUACCAUCUGAUGAGGAGGAUGUUUUAUAUGCAUCUAAACUUCCAGCUUCUAGAAAAGUCUAGAAAAGUUAGGAUUCUGGGCCAUAUUAGGUCAUAUUCCCAUGCAGUAAUAAUUGUUGGAGGUGACUGUGGCCACCCUCUCUAUUGGGGUGUGGGCUCCAAUUUGCCACAGUCUCCACCACUCCCUGUUGUCUCCCAUCAACCACACUGCUCUCACGUAACCUGUCUGGCCCCAGGAGCGUUUGUGUUUGGUGCUCUUGAUUUUAAAAGUCCCCCCUAGUGGCUUAACACGGCAGAGUCUCUUGCUCACACAAUAGUUUGGGGUUCGUGGUCAGGGCAGCCUUAGGGGGAGGGGGGCUCUCCUUCCUCACAGUCAUUCACACCUCAGGCUCCUGCCAUCUUGUGGUUCCACCGUGUCCCUGAGCUUCAUUGCAACGGCAGCUUCCAGUUGGUGGAUAAAGAAAGAGGUGGAGGAGCAUAGACGGAUCAGCCUGCACGUCACUGAACUCAGCCCCCAGGGGCCAGAGCUCGGUGACGGGGCUGCUGCUCACAGCACAGGAGGCUGGGAAGAGCCAUCCUGCUGGUCACCCCGAGGACAGGAGAGCAGACCCUGAGGGGCAGCUGGUGCUGUCCGCCCCGUCCUCUGGCCUCUUUCUCCAGCCCGGGAAGCCAUCGCCUCCUCCUGGGCUUGCAGUCUGGCUACUCGUUAUCCAUGUUUCUCCCUAAUCUAUCGUUCAGGGCGCCAGCUCGGUGUCUGCAGCUCCUUGCGGCUGAGCCUGUGCAGCUCAAAAUGCCUGGUUCUUGCCAUUCAAAAGCUUUGGCUUCUGAAAGGAAACGGCCUUUUUUGAUGCUUUUCUGUUCUCUUAUUCCUCCCCUGGGCAGGGGGGGACACGGUCUAAUCUGGCGAAGGGCAAGGGGCCAGAAGCAGAGAAGGAGCCCCUGGGAUGAAAAGGGUGUUGGCUGGAAGUGAUGUCCCCCACGUGGAGAUACACGAAGUGUGGCGCGCUCCGUCGAGACCCAGCCGUCUUCCUCCCAUGCGUUUCCCCGAGAGAUGACAACGUACGUCCCAUAUAUUCUCGUACACAAAGGUGCACAGCGGCGGUGUUCAUGAAAGCUGAAAACUGGGGACAGCCCAGAUGGCCAUCCGCUGGUGACCAGGUAGGCUGUUGUGUCCACACAGUGGAAUCUUACUCAGGAAUAAAAAGAGGUGAACUGCUGGUACGCACGGCAGCGCAGAUAAGUCUCAAAACCGCUAUCAUGAGAGGGUGAACGGUUUCUGCAAAGGCCAGCUAGAGCAUUUCUGGGUUUGUGGGUCUUACCGUCUCUGUCUCGACUACUCAGCUCGACUCUUGUGGGGUGAAAGCCGCCACAGAUAAUGCGUCAACGAACGAGCGCGGCUGCACCCUAAUGAAACUUUGCUGAUGGACGCUGAAAUGGAAAGUCCACACAAGUUUCAUGUGUCACGAAAUAUGAUUCUUCUUUUGAGUUUUUUCAACCAUUAAAAAGUGUAAAAACCCAGCAACUCCCCUUCAUUGCUGGUGGGAAUGCAAAAGGGUGCAGCCACGUCAGGAGAUGGUUUGGUGGUUUCUUACAGAACUGAGCAUACUCUUUAGUAUUCGAUCCAGCAAUCCCGCCCCUGGGUAUUUUCCCAAACGAACUGAAAACUUACGUCCGUACAAAAACCUGCAUGCGGACGUUGACAGCAGCUUUAUUCAGAGCCACCCAGACUGGAAGCAACCAAGGUGCCCUCCUGGAGGUGGGGGAUCCACAACCUCUAGACGAUGGAAUAUUAUUCAGCGCCAAAAAGAAAUGAGCUGUCAGGCCAUGAAAAGACAGGAGGGAACCUCAAAUGCGUAUCACCAAGCGAAAGAAGCCAAUCUGAAAAGGCCACAUACUGUGUGAUCCCAACUAUGUGACGUUCUAGAAAAGGCAAAACUACGGGGACAGAAGAGGAUGAGCGGUUGCCAAAGGGUUGGGGGUUGUGAGCAGCUGACGCACAGAGGAUUUUUAGGAUUUUUUCUAUUCUGUCUGAUGUUGUAAUAAUAGACGCCUGUCGCUAUACAUUCGUCCAAACCCACAGAACGUGUGACACCAGGAGAGAACCCUCCUGUCCGUUGUGGACUUGUUAAUAGCCACCGGUCAGUGCUGAUUCGUGAGCUGCGGGACGCUGUAACGCAGGAUGCCGGGAGCAG
This 12190-nucleotide long non-coding RNA is filed under the name Equus asinus (donkey). RNAcentral describes it as "lncRNA (ENSEASG00005024384.1)". The record is from RNAcentral. Lineage: Eukaryota; Metazoa; Chordata; Mammalia; Perissodactyla; Equidae.